AGAUCAACAUAGAUCUUGAGCUUGAAAUGUUUCCAAAUGACAAAACCAAACUAUUUUGUUUUAUUUUAAAAAUCUUCCUUUUUGGAGCUUUUUUUCAAUAGAGUGGUAGAAAGAUUAUAGAAUAUAAACUUAAAAAUUUUUAAAGUUUUCAAGCGUUUGAAUGAAAAUGUUUCCUGAUUAAAGGCAAGCUCUGCGUGAGUUUUCAUUUGUCGGUUGGUUCCCUUCACACGUUCUCCGGAGCCUGGCUUUCUUCUCUGUGCUUUGUGCCACCUGGUUUGCAGCUGAACAAAGAACAAUCCUCUCCAUUUUGCAUUAGUCUUGCUUGAAGAGUUCGUAAGAAAACAGUGAUGCCAAAUGUGGCAGGCUCUUGAGAAAGUGUAAUUACACAGAAACAAAUAGGGUAUGUGUUAGCCUAAAUACGUCUGGAGUGAUUUAUUAUUUUUGUUACAGUUCAAUAAGUUUUCGUCUUUGAUGUAGAGAUUUUCAUUGAGCAAAAUGUAUGGUAAAUUCUAACAGGAAAAUAAGCAUUAUAACAGCCUGGACCCUGGAGCCAGACUGCCUGGGUGUGACGUGGUCCUUACUAGUUAUAUGACUUGGGUUAGGUUUCUUGACCUCUCAGUGCCUCAGUUUCCUCAGCUAUAAGAUAUAACAGCAGUACUUACCUCCCAAGUAUCAAAUGCGUUCACUUUUUAAAGCCCUUAGAACAAUAGCUGGCACAUCGUCAAUGCUACGUUAAGUACUAAUAAAUAUCUGUUAAAUAAAUAAGCUGGGCAAGGAGAAAGAUCUGAAUCUUUAUUUUCUCAUAUACUUUCCCUUCAUAGCUACCAUCCAUGCCUUUCUUCUUAGUCUUUCUAUUCUGUAACAAUUAACCAUCUUUUUCCUAUCCCUUUUGCUCAGAUAUACUCUUUCUCGUGCUUCCACCAUUAUAGAGAAAACAAGAAUCAAAGGAUCAUAGAGCAGGCAAGUAUUUCUAAUGGGGUUUCGUCCUUUCAUCUACAAGGAAAAGGAACUGAGAUCCAGACAGAUUAACUGACAUGUCUAGGAUCAAACAGCUAAUAAGCGGUCACCUCUUAUCAGACAUUCAAAGGCUGCUCUCCUCCAAGGCACAUUAUUUCUGCUAGUGAACUUGCCUGUUAUGCCCACUCCUUCUCCCUCGUCCUCCUCCUUCUUUCUUCUCUCUCUCUCUGUCUGGAGACUAGACCUCACUCCAGUGGAGGGUUGGAAACAGCUUCUUGCUCUAGUCUGUUCUUAAUGACCUUUCUCAUCUGGCUCCUUGAAUUCCCUUUUGUUGGCACAAACAACAUGUCCACAUUCUGAAACAAAAAUGAAAGCCCAGGGUAGGAUAAGAGCUUUUUACCUUUUUAAAAAACUGAUAUGUGAAUUGUUAUAUGCUGAAUGAGUUCAGAAAGCAGGAAAUUUAAAUCACAGGUGAUUUUGCAUUUAGAGAACUAACUUUCUUUAAAAAAAUGAAGUGACAUGAAAUCAG
This 1486-nucleotide long non-coding RNA is filed under the name Equus caballus (horse). RNAcentral's name for it is "lncRNA (ENSECAG00000052230.1)". Lineage: Eukaryota; Metazoa; Chordata; Mammalia; Perissodactyla; Equidae. The record is from RNAcentral.